This 78-nucleotide transfer RNA is filed under the name Alosa alosa (allis shad). RNAcentral describes it as "tRNA-OTHER". The record is from RNAcentral. Lineage: Eukaryota; Metazoa; Chordata; Actinopteri; Clupeiformes; Clupeidae.
GCAGCCGUGGCCCACUGGUUAGCACUCUGGACUUGUAACCGGAGAGUUGCUGGUUCGAGCCCUGACCAGUGGGCUGCG